RNAcentral lists this ribosomal RNA (301 nucleotides) under uncultured bacterium. RNAcentral describes it as "partial 16S ribosomal RNA". It matches the Rfam family "Bacterial small subunit ribosomal RNA", at positions 509 to 807 of the family's 1533-position model. The record is from RNAcentral.
CAGUCGCCGCGGUAAUACGUAGGGCGCAAGCGUUAUCCGGAAUUAUUGGGCGUAAAGAGCUCGUAGGCGGUUUGUCGCGUCUGCCGUGAAAGUCCGGGGCUCAACCCCGGAUCUGCGGUGGGUACGGGCAGACUAGAGUGAUGUAGGGGAGACUGGAAUUCCUGGUGUAGCGGUGAAAUGCGCAGAUAUUAGGAGGAACACCGAUGGCGAAGGCAGGUCUCUGGGCAUUAACUGACGCUGAGGAGCGAAAGCAUGGGGAGCGAACAGGAUUAGAUACCCCCGUAGUCCCUGUCUCUUAUAC